UUACAUGUUAACACGGAAACCCUUCAAUCUGAGUCUAGGAGAUGGAAAGAGAUUGGAGGAGAAGAAAAUAUAGAAAAAAUUUAUACAUACAGAAUCCUAUAAAGAGAUGGAGGUUGCAUAGAGACACAGGGGUUCAAUAUUCUGUUACAUUUUGAAGAGUUACGUCCCUUUCCAAAGUGGUGACUUCUAAAUUAACUUGAUAUAUAGCUUCAGAGGCAACAUUGGCAGCAGGA
RNAcentral lists this long non-coding RNA (233 nucleotides) under Elaeis guineensis (African oil palm). Its description in RNAcentral is "long non-coding RNA (EGUI_LNC005068)". Lineage: Eukaryota; Viridiplantae; Streptophyta; Magnoliopsida; Arecales; Arecaceae. The record is from RNAcentral.